CCCUUAGAUGUCCGGGGCUGCACGCGCGCUACACUGAAGGAAUCAGCGUGCUAAAACCAUUGUCGAAAGGCAUUGGUAAACCCAUUAAAAUCCUACGUGAUUGGGAUCGGGAAUUGCAAUUAUUUCCCUUGAACGAGGAAUUCCCAGUAAGUGUGGGUCAUAAGCUCGCGUUGAUUGCGUCCCUGCCCUUUGUACACACCGCCCGUCGCUGCCCGGGACUGAGCCGUUUCGAGAAAAGCGGGGACUGCUGCUGUCGGGGCUUUCGGGCCUUGGCUUCGGUGGAAACCGCUUUAAUCGCAGUGGCUUGAACCGGGCAAAANUCGUANCA
RNAcentral lists this ribosomal RNA (328 nucleotides) under uncultured eukaryote. RNAcentral describes it as "partial 18S ribosomal RNA". It matches the Rfam family "Eukaryotic small subunit ribosomal RNA", at positions 1470 to 1796 of the family's 1831-position model. The record is from RNAcentral.